RNAcentral lists this ribosomal RNA (660 nucleotides) under Streptomyces sp. JSM 082030. Its description in RNAcentral is "bacterial SSU rRNA". It matches the Rfam family "Bacterial small subunit ribosomal RNA", at positions 115 to 788 of the family's 1533-position model. The record is from RNAcentral. Lineage: Bacteria; Bacillati; Actinomycetota; Actinomycetes; Kitasatosporales; Streptomycetaceae.
ACGUGGGCAAUCUGCCCUGCACUCUGGGACAAGCCCUGGAAACGGGGUCUAAUACCGGAUACGACACGGGAUCGCAUGAUCUCCGUGUGGAAAGCUCCGGCGGUGCAGGAUGAGCCCGCGGCCUAUCAGCUUGUUGGUGGGGUAAUGGCCUACCAAGGCGACGACGGGUAGCCGGCCUGAGAGGGCGACCGGCCACACUGGGACUGAGACACGGCCCAGACUCCUACGGGAGGCAGCAGUGGGGAAUAUUGCACAAUGGGCGCAAGCCUGAUGCAGCGACGCCGCGUGAGGGAUGACGGCCUUCGGGUUGUAAACCUCUUUCAGCAGGGAAGAAGCGCAAGUGACGGUACCUGCAGAAGAAGCGCCGGCUAACUACGUGCCAGCAGCCGCGGUAAUACGUAGGGCGCAAGCGUUGUCCGGAAUUAUUGGGCGUAAAGAGCUCGUAGGCGGCUUGUCACGUCGGAUGUGAAAGCCCGGGGCUUAACCCCGGGUCUGCAUUCGAUACGGGCAGGCUAGAGUUCGGUAGGGGAGAUCGGAAUUCCUGGUGUAGCGGUGAAAUGCGCAGAUAUCAGGAGGAACACCGGUGGCGAAGGCGGAUCUCUGGGCCGAUACUGACGCUGAGGAGCGAAAGCGUGGGGAGCGAACAGGAUUAGAUACCCU